RNAcentral lists this ribosomal RNA (1151 nucleotides) under uncultured organism. RNAcentral's name for it is "bacterial SSU rRNA". It matches the Rfam family "Bacterial small subunit ribosomal RNA", at positions 271 to 1451 of the family's 1533-position model. The record is from RNAcentral.
AGGCAGAGACGGGUAGGGGGCGUGAGAGCGCGGACCCCCACACUGGCACUGAGAUACGGGCCAGACUCCUACGGGAGGCAGCAGUAAGGGAUAUUGCGCAAUGGACGAAAGUCAGACGCAGCGACGCCGCGUGGGCGAUGAAGGCCUUCGGGUUGUAAAGCCCUUUUAUGGGGGAAGAGAAAAAGGACGGUACCCCAGGAAUAAGUCCCGGCUAACUACGUGCCAGCAGCCGCGGUAAAACGUAGGGGACAAGCGUUAUCCGGAUUCACUGGGCGUAAAGAGCGUUGAGGCGGUUCCGUAAGUUGGGCGUGAAAGCUCCGGGCUUAACUCGGAGAUGUCGUUCAAUACUGCGGGGCUUGAGGACAGCAGAGGAAGGUGGAAUUCCCGGUGUAGUGGUGAAAUGCGUAGAUAUCGGGAGGAACACUCGUGGCGAAGGCGGCCUUCUGGGCUGUUCCUGACGCUGAAGGCGAAAGCUAGGUGAGCGAACGGGAUUAGAUACCCCGGUAGUCCUAGCUGUAAACGAUGGAUGCUGGGUGUGGGGGGUGUAAAUUCCCUCUGUGCCGAAGCAAACGCGUUAAGCAUCCCGCCUGGGGACUACGGCCGCAAGGCUAAAACUCAAACGAAUUGACGGGGGCCCGCACAAGCAGCGGAGCGUGUGGUUUAAUUCGAUGCUACACGAAGAACCUUACCUGGGUUUGACAUGCACGUGGUAGGGAACCGAAAGGGGACCGACCUUCGGGAGCGUGCACAGGUGCUGCAUGGCUGUCGUCAGCUCGUGCCGUGAGGUGUCGGGUUAAGUCCCGUAACGAGCGCAACCCUUGCCCUUAGUUACAAGUGUCUAAGGGGACUGCCCGGGACAACUGGGAGGAAGGUGGGGAUGACGUCAAGUCAGCAUGGCCUUUAUAUCCAGGGCUACACACACGCUACAAUGGCCGGUACAAUAGGUUGCGAAGUCGUGAGGCGGAGCCAAUCCUCAAAGCCGGUCUCAGUUCGAAUUGCAGUCUGCAACUCGACUGCAUGAAGCUGGAGUUGCUAGUAAUCGCAGGUCAGCUAUACUGCGGUGAUACGUUCCCGGGCCUUGUACACACCGCCCGUCACGUCAUGGAAGCUGGCAACGCCUGAAGCCGGUGAGCUAACCCGAAAGGGAGGCA